ACUACAUUGCUUAACAAAGGUAAAAAGACAGUUAAGCCCGACUGGGGCAAAUACUCUAAAAUAAUAAGACAACGUCUUACUGUUUACUGUAAACCCGUCCGGCUUGGUUUGAUCAAUUUUUUAGAUAUGGAAAGUAGUAUUUAUGGCAACCGGUACUGUUAAAUGGUUUAACGAUGCAAAAGGCUUUGGUUUUAUCACUCCUGAUGAAGGCGGCGAUGAUUUGUUCGCACAUUUCUCUGCCAUCAACAUGGAAGGCUUCAAAACCCUGAAAGAAGGCCAAAAAGUUUCUUUUGAUGUCACCAGCGGCCCUAAAGGCCUUCAGGCUGCAAACAUCCAGGCGGCUUAAGCAUCCAAACUAGCCGGUUUGUCCGGUUUUAACAGCAUGGCGGGUUUCAGACCUGCCAUUUUUU
RNAcentral lists this small RNA (410 nucleotides) under Neisseria elongata subsp. glycolytica ATCC 29315. Its description in RNAcentral is "cspA thermoregulator". It matches the Rfam family "cspA thermoregulator", at positions 81 to 428 of the family's 428-position model. Lineage: Bacteria; Pseudomonadati; Pseudomonadota; Betaproteobacteria; Neisseriales; Neisseriaceae. The record is from Rfam by way of RNAcentral.